RNAcentral lists this ribosomal RNA (253 nucleotides) under uncultured bacterium. RNAcentral describes it as "partial 16S ribosomal RNA". It matches the Rfam family "Bacterial small subunit ribosomal RNA", at positions 524 to 776 of the family's 1533-position model. The record is from RNAcentral.
UACGGAGGGAGCUAGCGUUGUUCGGAAUUACUGGGCGUAAAGCGCACGUAGGCGGCUUUGUAAGUUAGGGGUGAAAGCCCGGAGCUCAACUCCGGAAUUGCCUUUAAGACUGCAUCGCUUGAAUCCGGGAGAGGUGAGUGGAAUUCCGAGUGUAGCGGUGAAAUGCGUAGAUAUUGGGAGGAACACCAGUGGCGAAGGCGGCUCACUGGACCGGAACUGACGCUGAGGCGCGAAAGCGUGGGGAGCAAACGGG